CCGAGCCGUCGGCCCGCGGCGCGUAGGGCAGCGGCCUGGCGGGCCGCAGUCCGCGUUCCUGCCGGGGCAGCGCGGG
Molecule: transfer RNA, 76 nt
Filed under: Streptomyces fructofermentans
Lineage: Bacteria; Bacillati; Actinomycetota; Actinomycetes; Kitasatosporales; Streptomycetaceae
Description: tRNA-Ala
Source: RNAcentral